Non-coding RNA from Cyanistes caeruleus (blue tit), 3417 nucleotides. The record is from RefSeq and is a predicted model, not a curated record. NCBI's taxonomy places the organism in Eukaryota, Metazoa, Chordata, Aves, Passeriformes, Paridae.
CAGCAAAUGCCACAGGGGCUGCCAAGGUCUACGUGCAGACCAAGCAUAUAUCUGUGGGUGUAAACAAGACUGUCCUGCUGAACAUAAAGUUCUACUCAGCUCUUGUGGAAGGAGUUUGGCCCAGAGCUCCCAAAGGCUGACCUGUGUAUGGGUUUUCUUUGGCAUUUUAUAAAGACUCUGAGGAAUGAAGAGUCUGCUGAAACACAAAGGGUUUGGGUCUUUUCAGCUGCAGCCUUAACAAAAGACCAGAUAUGCUACAGUGGUGAGAUGCAGGAGAAGAAAAGGAAAACUGAGUCACUGGUUGUUAGAAAUGAUGAAAACAACUACUAGGACUUGUUGACAAAGAUCCCUUGGUAGGUAAUGUGCCUUUUCUCUGUGUAGGGGCAAGGCUACAGAUCAUCACAUAGUGUCUUUAAACAAAUCAAUCAGUGAUUUCUUUGUUUUUUGGGUUUUUUUUCAUAUUUUCACAUCUUUUCAGCUAUGAUUUUCUCUCAACAGGGCACUUAUGCCUAGAAUCUGAAUAAGGUGUUGUUUAUCCUGAGGAUCUGGUGUCACAUGUGUUUAAAACCGAAAAUAUGGGCAUUUUGGGAAGAGGACAAUUUAAAAUAGCUCUUUCAUACUAGGUAAAGAAGUGAAAAACCCUUGCCACUCACUGAUCCAGGAAGAGAAGAAUAUCUUUGUACAAAAGUCUGGGAUGGCGUAAUGCAAAAAGUAACCAGUGGUAGGGAAAAAAGAAAGCAGAUAGCUCUCAGAAGAACGUGUGCUGACCAGCCACCAGCUGCCUUUGGAGAGCUGACCAGGCAGCUACAGGCUUGCUGACUUCUUCCAGCACACCACUUCCAUGAAAUAGUUACUGGUUCUGCUUCCCUGUGUUCCCCAUGGCCCCCACAGGGAUCCCUGGAACUGUGUGUGCAUUAUGUGACUCACAGGAUAGAAAAGGCUGGGAAGCUCUGCUUCCCAAUGUUUUUCUGUGUGCUUCCACCUCGGAAGGGUGGUUCUCAGAUGUUCUGCAUGGUUGUGUAGCAGGCAGUUUCAGCCUAUGUUUCCAUUUCCAAGGGACUUCAAAAGAGGAAGAUACUCCCAUUAGUGUUUUGCAUGAUAACAAGUUAGGCAAGCAUCAUUUUUGGAUGCAGUUGAUGGAAGACUGGUUACUGCCACUGCCAAGUGGGCGUCUAAGUUGAGACUAUCAAAUGAUGUCUGUUGUAUUAAAUGCUUUGUUAUGUUUCCGGCUUGGAAAAUGAUGCAUGUGUCAGACAGAGCUUUCUGUUCUGGCAUUAAAGCAAUCUUGGCACCCGUUGGAAACUGUUUACUUUGAAAGUUUAAUUUUAAAUAUAGUUUUGGAACACACUUGGAAAUGUCUGCAAAUCAACAGUAACAGACAGGAGACUAAAGCACUGUUUCCUUAACUCCUGUGUCCUUUGAAAUACCUUAAUCUGCUUUGCUUUGUGUGAGCCGCUUCUGGUUUGUGCAUGAUUUAUUCACACAUUAUUUCUUCCUGAAUUGGACAGUAGCUGAAAGACAGGUAGGAGCCAACAGCACAAAAGAACAUAAUGAACAGCACCAUUUAAAGUAUUUUAGUAUUAUUUAACCCUUUUUUGUGAUAUAUGACUGGUGCAAGGAGAACAUGUUCCACCUUGCUGAGCAGUCAACAGAGACAGCCUGUGUUAGGAUCCUGAAGGGCAUUCUCCAGUCUGCUGCAAAGCCAUUGGACAUGCCAACAUGCAGUGCCAUUAAUUUCCAGCUACCAGAAAGGUUCUUUAGAGUGCCAAGCAUGACGCCAGAAUACAAAACACUUCAUUCAUCAAAGCCAUAAGUAAGAAAUUCUGUGUUUUUGGUUUUUGAAGUAACUUUUGUACAUUUAUGACUUUUUCCACAUUAAGCAUCAUUUAUGGUUUGGAAAUUGUUCAGGCAAGAGGCAUGUGGUUUCUGCUCCUGAAUAUCAGCAGCAGUUUUGCUAGGUUCAGUCUCUAUUUUUUGUUGACAUUUUCUUGGCUUUUCAUUUAUCUUUAGGGUGGACGUUUUUGGAGCAAACUGCCUCAAGGAGAGCCCAUAACCUUCUUUCUAAAUGUAGACUAAGUGAUCUGCGUAAGGUGAAGAAGAUUACUUUGGUAUAGGGAAUUUGGGUUCACAGCCAGAUUUUUGCAAAGUACCUGGUGAAGAAAUACCUUUUCUGGGAUGUUCUCUCAUCAGAACAACUGCUGGAACAAAUUGAGAAGUAGGAAUUUUACACCUGCACUAUGAGACAUAAGUUGAUAGGUUUUUCCAUAGGCAAUGUGAGAAGUUACCGAGUAGCAGUUGAAUUUUCAGUUAAUUCUAUUUGUGCUGAAUGAAUGGUAAAGGGCUACCUCAAGAUCUUGGUUUGUGAGCUAGGAAAUAUAUAAAUUACAAAUUGUAUGGAGAUUUCAAGACCCUCCUUUUUCAGGCCUUUCAAUGCAUAAUUGUCACAUUUCAAGGGAGAGUGGAUGAAAUUACAUAAAUAUGUUCUCUGUGUGCAUCAAAGCAGAGGUGACUGCAUGAAUUGGAUGUGCUUUUGUUCCUGCAGCAAUUUGGAUUCUUGUGUUACUUCUUUCUUUAGCUGACCAGGAAGGACAGAAUUUAGAAACGAAUGCUGGUUUUUGCCUCUCUGUAUUCAAAGCUCUGUCCAAAAGAACAAUGUGUAAAUGCUCUGUGAGGGUCCAGUUCUGCUCCUUGCCGAGUCCAGUUACUCCACUGAGUUGUGACAAACAAAUGCUUCAGGGUGUCUGGAUGCAGUGACAGGUGCUACAGUGCACAGACUCUGAGAGCUGUGGCAAGCUCUAAAUAAAUGCCUUUGUAAUUCUGGGGUUUAUAAGAACCUAAAAAUUUCCCAGCUGGGCCACACCACUGGGGUGCUCCCACCCAGCCACAGGUUUUGUCUCUAGAAAGGGUAGCAGGAGAUGCUAUUUAGAGGCAGUUUGCAGGUGCUGACUCAUAUCUGUCCAGAGAAGCUCCUGUUGUCCUCUUCCCAGAAUCUCUGCUCUGGAGCUUUGUGUUUCAGUUGCCCCUGAGGAUUAGAGACCCCUUUUCUGUCAUCAUGUGGGAUAGCAGACAGAGGGAGUCCUUGCUGUCUUUCCUGAGGUGUACUACCAAGAAAAAGGGCCCUGAAUGGAGGUCUAAUAUUAUUUUCCUGCUCCUGCUUGAAUGAGGAAUGAAUAAAGACAUACCUUACGAUAUAUUAGUGGAGUUUUCUUCACUCUUUGGCCCUUUGCAUCAUGGCCCAGUAACUUCCAGUGCUGGGUGCCUCUGUCUCUGUUCUACUGCAGUGAUCUUUGAGACUGAAGUUUGUGAAAGUUCCCUCCGGCAACAGCCCAUGGAAAGCUGCCUGGAACAUACAGCAAAUAAUGCCUAGAACCUCUGGAAUUUAGGAUAGAAGCCUGCUUGGAGGGAAAAAAUGUUGCA